UGCAGUUUGCGGGGGAACUCUUAUGAGUUGAGAAGGUAAAACCUGACCCUUUGAACCUGUCAGCUAACACUGGUGUAGGGAAGCGAAAAUUUUUAGAGA
RNAcentral lists this non-coding RNA (99 nucleotides) under Tepidanaerobacter syntrophicus. RNAcentral describes it as "TPP sequence". It matches the Rfam family "TPP riboswitch aptamer (THI element)". From Rfam's summary of the family: Vitamin B(1) in its active form thiamin pyrophosphate (TPP) is an essential coenzyme that is synthesised by coupling of pyrimidine and thiazole moieties in bacteria. The previously detected thiamin-regulatory element, thi box was extended, resulting in a new, highly conserved RNA secondary structure, the THI element, which is widely distributed in eubacteria and also occurs in some archaea. The record is from Rfam by way of RNAcentral. Lineage: Bacteria; Bacillati; Bacillota; Clostridia; Thermosediminibacterales; Tepidanaerobacteraceae.